This 253-nucleotide ribosomal RNA is filed under the name uncultured bacterium. RNAcentral describes it as "partial 16S ribosomal RNA". It matches the Rfam family "Bacterial small subunit ribosomal RNA", at positions 524 to 776 of the family's 1533-position model. The record is from RNAcentral.
UACGUAGGUGGCAAGCGUUAUCCGGAUUUAUUGGGCGUAUAGGGAACGCAGGCGGUCUUUUAAGUCUGAUGUGAAAGCCUUCGGCUUAACCGGAGUAGUGCAUUGGAAACUGGGAGACUUGAGUGCAGAAGAGGAGAGUGGAACUCCAUGUGUAGCGGUGAAAUGCGUAGAUAUAUGGAAGAACACCAGUGGCGAAAGCGGCUCUCUGGUCUGUAACUGACGCUGAGGUUCGAAAGCGUGGGUAGCAAACAGG